Molecule: long non-coding RNA, 570 nt
Organism: Mytilus californianus (California mussel)
Lineage: Eukaryota; Metazoa; Mollusca; Bivalvia; Mytilida; Mytilidae
Exons: 3
Source: RefSeq, a predicted model, not a curated record
CCUUUGCGUUUAUCGAAGCUGAGACAAGGAUGGCCAUUUCUGACUUCAAAAGGGUGUAAACAACAGCUGCAGAAUUGGAAUAUUUGAUUGAAAUCGAGGAGAUGAGGGAUUAUCGAAAACCAGGACAAAAAGAACAUCAGUUGAUAGAUGAAGUUAUUGAUGACUUGGCUGGUAUUGGAAAACAAAUGGAUAGUAUAUUACUCAAACAGGACGAUAAAGAAGAGACUAAAAUGAUUACACAGGACAUCACUCAAAGAACAGUUGUGAAAGAUAUUUUUGGGACAACCAUUAGAUCAGCUAGGGAAGAAGAAAAUGAACUAAAACAGAUCCAGCAAUACAUGUCCGAUUUAAUUGACGAAGCUGUCAUCGAAUUUGACGAAGAACUGUGGAGAACACUGGAAGCAAAGAUCCAGAGCUUGUCAAUAACAGCGGACAAUAUGAGCAUAAAUUCCUCCACCGAAAAUUGCAGCAUAUCGUGUACGAGUGCGAGUAACCAUGAAGUAGGAACACUUGUACUCCAAUCUCCGUUUGAAAAAAUCAUAACAACAAAUUCCGCCAUAACACAUGGAC